GACGAACGCUGGCGGCGUGCUUAACACAUGCAAGUCGAACGAACUCGGGCUUCGGCCCACAUGAGUGAGUGGCGAACGGGUGAGUAACGCGUGAGAAACCUGCCCCAAAGUCGGGAAUAACUCAGGGAAACUUGAGCUAAUACCGGAUGCCCUCUUCUGACCGCAUGGUCGGAUGAGGAAAGAUUUAUCGCUUUGGGAGGGUCUCGCGACCUAUCAGCUAGUUGGUGAGGUAACGGCUCACCAAGGCAUCGACGGGUAGCUGGUUUGAGAGAACGAUCAGCCACAUUGGAACUGAGACACGGUCCAAACUCCUACGGGAGGCAGCAGUGGGGAAUCUUGCACAAUGGGCGAAAGCCUGAUGCAGCGACGCCGCGUGGGGGAUGAAGGCCCUAGGGUCGUAAACCCCUUUCAGUAGGGACGAAAAUGACGGUACCUACAGAAGAAGCUCCGGCCAACUACGUGCCAGCCGCCGCCGUAACAC
Molecule: ribosomal RNA, 481 nt
Filed under: uncultured bacterium
Lineage: Bacteria
Description: bacterial SSU rRNA
Rfam family: Bacterial small subunit ribosomal RNA
Source: RNAcentral